Molecule: ribosomal RNA, 1434 nt
Filed under: uncultured Enterobacteriaceae bacterium
Lineage: Bacteria; Pseudomonadati; Pseudomonadota; Gammaproteobacteria; Enterobacterales; Enterobacteriaceae
Description: bacterial SSU rRNA
Rfam family: Bacterial small subunit ribosomal RNA
Source: RNAcentral
UAUGGCUCAGAUUGAACGCUGGCGGCAGGCCUAACACAUGCAAGUCGUAACAAGGUAACCGGAAGCAGCUUGCUGCUUCGCUGACGAGUGGCGGACGGGUGAGUAAUGUCUGGGAAGCUGCCUGAUGGAGGGGGAUAACUACUGGAAACGGUAGCUAAUACCGCAUAAUGUCGCAAGACCAAAGAGGGGGACCUUCGGGCCUCUUGCCAUCGGAUGUGCCCAGAUGGGAUUAGCUUGUUGGUGGGGUAACGGCUCACCAAGGCGACGAUCCCUAGCUGGUCUGAGAGGAUGACCAGCCACACUGGAACUGAGACACGGUCCAGACUCCUACGGGAGGCAGCAGUGGGGAAUAUUGCACAAUGGGCGCAAGCCUGAUGCAGCCAUGCCGCGUGUAUGAAGAAGGCCUUCGGGUUGUAAAGACUUUUCAGCGGGGAGGAAGGGAGUAAAGUUAAUACCUUUGCUCAUUGACGUUACCCGCAGAAGAAGCACCGGCUAACUCCGUGCCAGCAGCCGCGGUAAUACGGAGGGUGCAAGCGUUAAUCGGAAUUACUGGGCGUAAAGCGCACGCAGGCGGUUUGUUAAGUCAGAUGUGAAACCCCCGGGCUCAACCUGGGAACUGCAUCUGAUACUGGCAAGCUUGAGUCUCGUAGAGGGGGGUAGAAUUCCAGGUGUAGCGGUGAAAUGCGUAGAGAUCUGGAGGAAUACCCGUGGCGAAGGCGGCCCCCUGGACGAAGACUGACGCUCAGGUGCGAAAGCGUGGGGAGCAAACAGGAUUAGAUACCCUGGUAGUCCACGCCCGUAAACGAUGUCGACUUGGAAGUUGUGCCCUUGAGGCGUGGCUUCCGGAGCUAACGCGUUAAGUCGACCGCCUGGGGAGUACGGCCGCAAGGUUAAAACUCAAAUGAAUUGACGGGGGCCCGCACAAGCGGUGGAGCAUGUGGUUUAAUUCGAUGCAACGCGAAGAACCUUACCUGGUCUUGACAUCCACGGAAGUUUUCAGAGAUGAGAAUGUGCCUUCGGGAACCGUGAGACAGGUGCUGCAUGGCGGUCGUCAGCUCGUGUUGUGAAAUGUUGGGUUAAGUCCCGCAACGAGCGCAACCCUUAUCCUUUGUUGCCAGCGGUCCGGCCGGGAACUCAAAGGAGACUGCCAGUGAUAAACUGGAGGAAGGUGGGGAUGACGUCAAGUCAUCAUGGCCCUUACGACCAGGGCUACACACGUGCUACAAUGGCGCAUACAAAGAGAAGCGACCUCGCGAGAGCAAGCGGACCUCAUAAAGUGCGUCGUAGUCCGGAUUGGAGUCUGCAACUCGACUCCAUGAAGUCGGAAUCGCUAGUAAUCGUGGAUCAGAAUGCCACGGUGAAUACGUUCCCGGGCCUUGUACACACCGCCCGUCACACCAUGGGAGUGGGUUGCAAAAGAAGUAGGUAGCUUAA